RNAcentral lists this ribosomal RNA (466 nucleotides) under uncultured bacterium. RNAcentral's name for it is "bacterial SSU rRNA". It matches the Rfam family "Bacterial small subunit ribosomal RNA", at positions 329 to 792 of the family's 1533-position model. The record is from RNAcentral.
UCCCAGACUCCUACGGGAGGCAGCAGUGAGGAAUAUUGGUCAAUGGGCGGGAGCCUGAACCAGCCAAGUCGCGUGAGGGAAGACGGUCCUAUGGAUUGUAAACCUCUUUUGUCGGGGAGCAAAGAGGCCUCGUGAGGUCAAAAGCGAGAGUACCCGAAGAAAAAGCAUCGGCUAACUCCGUGCCAGCAGCCGCGGUAAUACGGAGGAUGCGAGCGUUAUCCGGAUUUAUUGGGUUUAAAGGGUGCGUAGGCGGGACGGUAAGUCAGCGGUAAAAAUGCGGAGCUCAACUCCGUCGAGCCGUUGAAACUGGCAGACUUGAGUUGGCGAGAAGUACGCGGAAUGCGCGGUGUAGCGGUGAAAUGCAUAGAUAUCGCGCAGAACUCCGAUUGCGAAGGCAGCGUACCGGCGCCAGACUGACGCUGAGGCACGAAAGCGUGGGGAUCGAACAGGAUUAGAUACCCCCGUA